RNAcentral lists this ribosomal RNA (468 nucleotides) under uncultured bacterium. Its description in RNAcentral is "partial 16S ribosomal RNA". It matches the Rfam family "Bacterial small subunit ribosomal RNA", at positions 28 to 507 of the family's 1533-position model. The record is from RNAcentral.
GACGAACGCUGGCGGCGUGCUUAACACAUGCAAGUCGAACGGAAAGGCCCUGCUUUUGUGGGGUGCUCGAGUGGCGAACGGGUGAGUAACACGUGAGUAACCUGCCCUUGACUUUGGGAUAACUUCAGGAAACUGGGGCUAAUACCGGAUAGGAGCUCCUGCCGCAUGGUGGGGGUUGGAAAGUUUCGGCGGUUGGGGAUGGACUCGCGGCUUAUCAGCUUGUUGGUGGGGUAGUGGCUUACCAAGGCUUUGACGGGUAGCCGGCCUGGGAGGGUGGCCGGCCACAUUGAGACUGAGAUACGGCCCAGACUCCUACGGGAGGCAGCAGUGGAGAAUAUUGCACAAUGGGCGGAAGCCUGAUGCAGCAACGCCGCGUGCGGGAUGACGGCCUUCGGGUUGUAAACCGCUUUCGCCUGUGACGAAGCGUGAGUGACGGUAAUGGGUAAAGAAGCACCGGCUAACUACGUG